RNAcentral lists this ribosomal RNA (468 nucleotides) under uncultured bacterium. RNAcentral's name for it is "partial 16S ribosomal RNA". It matches the Rfam family "Bacterial small subunit ribosomal RNA", at positions 28 to 507 of the family's 1533-position model. The record is from RNAcentral.
GACGAACGCUGGCGGCGUGCUUAACACAUGCAAGUCGAACGGAAAGGCCCUGCUUUUGUGGGGUGCUCGAGUGGCGAACGGGUGAGUAACACGUGAGUAACCUGCCCUUGACUUUGGGAUAACUUCAGGAAACUGGGGCUAAUACCGGAUAGGAGCUCCUGCUGCAUGGUGGGGGUUGGAAAGUUUCGGCGGUUGGGGAUGGACUCGCGGCUUAUCAGCUUGUUGGUGGGGUAGUGGCUUACCAAGGCUUUGGCGGGUAGCCGGCCUGAGAGGGUGACCGGCCACAUUGGGACGGAGAGACGGCCCGGGCUCCGAGGGGCGGCAGCAGGGGGGAAUUGUGCAAGAGGGGCGGAAGCCGGAUGCAGCAAGGCCGGGUGGGGGAUGGCGGCUUUCGGUUUUAAAACCGUUUUCGCCGGUGACGAAGCGGGAGUGAGGGUAAUGGGUAAAGAAGCCCCGGCUAACUAGGGG